Molecule: unclassified non-coding RNA, 21 nt
Filed under: Mus musculus (house mouse)
Lineage: Eukaryota; Metazoa; Chordata; Mammalia; Rodentia; Muridae
Description: oocyte_clustered_small_RNA10978
Source: RNAcentral
CGUCAUGGCGCUGCAGGAGGC